RNAcentral lists this ribosomal RNA (253 nucleotides) under uncultured bacterium. RNAcentral's name for it is "partial 16S ribosomal RNA". It matches the Rfam family "Bacterial small subunit ribosomal RNA", at positions 524 to 776 of the family's 1533-position model. The record is from RNAcentral.
UACGUAGGGUGCAAGCGUUGUCCGGAAUUAUUGGGCGUAAAGAGCUCGUAGGCGGUCUGUCGCGUCGGCUGUGAAAACCCGGAGCUCAACUCCGGGCCUGCAGUCGAUACGGGCAAACUGGAGUGUUGCAGGGGAAACUGGAAUUCCUGGUGUAGCGGUGAAAUGCGCAGAUAUCAGGAGGAACACCGGUGGCGAAGGCGGGUCUCUGGGCAACAACUGACGCUGAGGAGCGAAAGCGUGGGGAGCGAACAGG